UGUGACCAAAGGGAUGCCCUGGGUACAG
This 28-nucleotide non-coding RNA is filed under the name Rattus norvegicus (Norway rat). The record is from RNAcentral. Lineage: Eukaryota; Metazoa; Chordata; Mammalia; Rodentia; Muridae.